GAACGCUAGCUACAGGCUUACACAUGCAAGUCGCGGGGCAGCAUGGGGGUUGCUUGCAACCCCCGAUGGCGACCGGCGCACGGGUGAGUAACGCGUAUCCAACCUGCCCUUCACCACGGGAUAACCCGGCGAAAGUCGGACUAAUACCGUAUGUUGUCCAUUGACGGCAUCCGAUUUGGACGAAAGGCUUUGCGGUGAAGGAUGGGGAUGCGUCCGAUUAGCUUGACGGCGGGGUAACGGCCCACCGUGGCUACGAUCGGUAGGGGUUCUGAGAGGAAGGUCCCCCACACUGGAACUGAGACACGGUCCAGACUCCUACGGGAGGCAGCAGUGAGGAAUAUUGGUCAAUGGGCGCAAGCCUGAACCAGCCAAGUAGCGUGCAGGAUGACGGCCCUAUGGGUUGUAAACUGCUUUUAUGCGGGGAUAAAGUGGCCCACGUGUGGGCUUUUGCAGGUACCGCAUGAAUAAGGACCGGCUAAUUCCGUGCCAGCAGCCGCGGUAAUACGGAAGGUCCGGGCGUUAUCCGGAUUUAUUGGGUUUAAAGGGAGCGUAGGCCGCGCCUUAAGCGUGUUGUGAAAUCCGGUUGCUCAACAUCCGGCUUGCAGCGCGAACUGGGGCGCUUGAGUGCGCUGAAAGUAGGCGGAAUUCGUGGUGUAGCGGUGAAAUGCUUAGAUAUCACGAGGAACUCCGAUUGCGAAGGCAGCCUACUGUAGCGCUACUGACGCUGAUGCUCGAAAGCGUGGGUAUCGAACAGGAUUAGAUACCCUGGUAGUCCACGCGGUAAACGAUGGAUGCUCGUUGUCGGCCCUUUGGGUCGGUGACCAAGCGAAAGCGUUAAGCAUCCCACCUGGGG
This 853-nucleotide ribosomal RNA is filed under the name uncultured Bacteroidota bacterium. RNAcentral describes it as "bacterial SSU rRNA". It matches the Rfam family "Bacterial small subunit ribosomal RNA", at positions 31 to 878 of the family's 1533-position model. The record is from RNAcentral. Lineage: Bacteria; Pseudomonadati; Bacteroidota.